GACUGGUGUGGUGAUGUGUGCGCGCGCGAGAGGGCGAGACUGCCAAGUUAAUAACAGCGUAAUUCUCAGCAUGUAUGGGAAGAAACUAUAUAUAUAUAUAUAUAUAAAAAUCAAACGUAGACUAGUGGCCCACGCAGGUCCAAACAGACCGGCCCACCGGGGAUUCUCCCGCACUUCCCAAUGGCCAGCCCGCGCCUGGCAGGAGCCCUGUGUAAACCAUCGUGGAGAGGAGUCCUCUGCCUGGGAGUUCUGGACUGUGUGGGCUGUUCUCCGCUGGCUCCUGUGUGCAGCUCUACUCGGCUCUGCAGCUCUGGUGCCAUGGGGCUUUCACAGGGUCCACAAUGCUCAGGAUGCUUCACCUGAAGAGAUAAUAAGAUCUGAAGAAACCUGCACAGCGUCCAGUUUGGUGUGAUUUAUUCAGCUUUGAACACAACAGGAGUCUGUGGUGUUAGGGAGAGCUGCAGGUGCCAAACUCACACAACAGGGUUCUCUCUGACUGUCAGCUCUCUGUGAGGAGCAACUGGAGCAGUUUUCAAAAUAUCAAGCUGCAUUCUAAUGUAUUGUAAUGUUCAUUCCAAUCUGUAAUUGUUGUUAAUUAGCUUCUACUAUUGCUUUGUAUCCCUCUGUGGAAAGGUAUCUGUAACUGGAGCGGUCAAGGCCAGCGGUGCACUAUUAUUAAAUAAACUAAAUAAAAAGAAUAAACAGCUGGCCAUCUCAGGGCUUCUGCAUACUGGGGCGUGUCCAAGCCAACUCCUCCAAGCUGACUGUCAAACCCCAGGCUUGUAUCC
This is a long non-coding RNA of Acipenser ruthenus (sterlet), 788 nucleotides long. RefSeq lists it as uncharacterized. The record is from RefSeq and is a predicted model, not a curated record. Lineage: Eukaryota; Metazoa; Chordata; Actinopteri; Acipenseriformes; Acipenseridae. The transcript is spliced from 3 exons.